RNAcentral lists this ribosomal RNA (451 nucleotides) under uncultured bacterium. Its description in RNAcentral is "bacterial SSU rRNA". It matches the Rfam family "Bacterial small subunit ribosomal RNA", at positions 29 to 518 of the family's 1533-position model. The record is from RNAcentral.
AGCGAACGCUGGCGGCAUGCUUAACACAUGCAAGUCGCACGGUCGGGGGUAACUCCGGCAGUGGCGGACGGGUGAGUAACGCGUAGGUAUCUAUCCAGAGGUGGGGGACAACCGCGGGAAACUGCGGCUAAUACCGCAUGAUGACUGAGGUCCAAAAGCAGCAAUGCGCCAUUGGAGGAGCCUGCGUUCGAUUAGCUAGUUGGUGGGGUAAAGGCUUACCAAGGCGACGAUCGAUAGCUGGUCUGAGAGGAUGAUCAGUCACAUUGGGACUGAGACACGGCCCAAACUCCUACGGGAGGCAGCAGUGGGGAAUAUUGGACAAUGGCGCAAGCCUGAUCCAGCAAUGCCGCGUGUGUGAAGAAGGUCUUCGGAUUAGUAAAGCACUUUUCGACGGGGACGAUGAUGACGGUACCCGUAGAAGAAGCCCGGCUAACUUCGUGCCAGCAGCCGC